Molecule: ribosomal RNA, 440 nt
Filed under: uncultured bacterium
Lineage: Bacteria
Description: partial 16S ribosomal RNA
Rfam family: Bacterial small subunit ribosomal RNA
Source: RNAcentral
CCUACGGGUGGCAGCAGUGAGGAAUAUUGGUCAAUGGGGGAAACCCUGAUGCGGCGACGCCGCGUGUGGGAAGACGGUCCUCUGGAUUGUAAACCACUGUCCCCAGGGACGAAGAUGACGGUACCUGGGGAGGAAGCUCCGGCUAACUACGUGCCAGCAGCCGCGGUAAUACGUAGGGAGCGAGCGUUGUCCGGAAUUACUGGGAGUAAAGGGAGCGUAGGCGGGACUGCAAGUUGGGUGUCAAAUCUACCGGCUCAACCGGUAGCCGCACUCAAAACUGCAGUUCUUGAGUGAAGUAGAGGCAGGCGGAAUUCCUAGUGUAGCGGUGAAAUGCGUAGAUAUUAGGAGGAACACCAGUGGCGAAGGCGGCUCACUGGACUGUAACUGACGUUGAGGCUCGAAAGCGUGGGGAGCAAACAGGAUUAGAUACCCCAGUAGUC